UACAGAGGUCCCAAGCGUUGUUCGGAUUCACUGGGCGUAAAGGGUGCGUAGGUGGCCGGGAAAGUUCGGUGUGAAAGCUCCAAGCUCAACUUGGAAAUGUCAUCGAAAACUUCCUGGCUCGAGGAUUGAAAGGGAGACUGGAAUUCUCGGUGUAGCAGUGAAAUGCGUAGAUAUCGAGAGGAACACCGGUGGCGAAGGCGAGUCUCUGGGCAAAUCCUGACACUGAGGCACGAAAGCUGGGGGAGCAAACAGG
RNAcentral lists this ribosomal RNA (253 nucleotides) under uncultured bacterium. Its description in RNAcentral is "partial 16S ribosomal RNA". It matches the Rfam family "Bacterial small subunit ribosomal RNA", at positions 524 to 776 of the family's 1533-position model. The record is from RNAcentral.